This 2866-nucleotide ribosomal RNA is filed under the name hot springs metagenome. Its description in RNAcentral is "bacterial LSU rRNA". It matches the Rfam family "Bacterial large subunit ribosomal RNA". The record is from RNAcentral.
CCAAGGGCGCACGGUGGAUGCCCUGGCACCCGAGCCGAUGAAGGACGUGGUUGCCUGCGAUAAGCCUGGGGGAGCUGGCAAACAAGCUGUGAUCCCAGGAUCUCCGAAUGGGGAAACCCGGCCGUUGGGAACAGCGGUCAUCGCCCAUCUGGGCGAGGGGUACGCGGGGAACUGAAACAUCUUAGUACCCGCAGGAGAAGAAAGAGUCAUCGAUUCCCUUAGUAGUGGCGAGCGAACUGGGAAGAGCCUAAACCGGCGUGCGUGCACGCUGGGGUCGUGGGACCCGCACCAUGCCGAAGCCUCACGCUGAGUCGAGCGGUUCUGGAACGGCCGACCACAGAGGGUGAGAGUCCCGUAGGCGAAGGUGUGAGGAUCGGCGCGGGCUCCCGAGUAGCCUGGAAUUCGUGGAGUUCUGGGUGAAUCUGGGCGGACCACCGCCUAAGGCUAAAUACAUCGGGUGACCGAUAGCGGACGAGUACCGUGAGGGAAUGGUGAAAAGAACCCCGGGAGGGGAGUGAAAGAGAACCUGAAACCGUGCGCUUACAGGCAAUCGCGGCGCGUACGCCUCGUGCUGCGUUGCGGUGUGCCUAUUGAAGCAUGAGCCGGCGACUCACGGUGGGCUGCAAGCUUAAGGCUUGAAGCCGGAGGCGUAGCGAAAGCGAGUCCGAAGAGGGCGUGAGUAGUCCGCCGUGGACCCGAAACCUGGAGAGCUAGGCCUGGCCAGGCUGAAGCCGGGGUGACACCCGGUGGAGGGCCGAACCGACGGGAGAUGCAAAUCCUCCGGAUGAGCUGGGUCUAGGAGUGAAAAGCUAACCGAUCCAGGAGAUAGCUGGUUCUCCCCGAAAUGACUUUAGGGUCAGCCUCGGGUGCUGAUCGGAUCCCGUAGAGCGCUGAUUGGGCUAGGGGGCCCACCAGCCUACCAAACCCUGUCAAACUCCGAAGGGGUCCGAGUGGAGCCCGGGAGUGAGGGCACGAGUGCUAACAUCCGUGUCCGAGCGCCGGAACAACGGAGAUCGCCGAUUAAGGCCCCCAAGUCUGGGCUGAGUGGGAAAGGAUGUGGGACCGCACAGACAGCCAGGAGGUUGGCUUAGAAGCAGCCAUCCUAGAACGAGUGCGUAACAGCUCACUGGUCGAGUGGUCCUGCGCCGAAAAUGAUCGGGGCUCAAGCCCAGCGCCGAAAUCGCGGCCCCCGCAAGGGGGGGUAGGGGAGCGUUCCCGAUGCCUGUGAAGGUGGACCGCGAGGGCCACUGGAGGUAAGGGAAGUGCGAAUGCCGGCAUGAGUAACGCCAAAAUGGGGUGAGAAUCCCCAUCGCCGUAAACCCAAGGGUUCCUGCGCCAUGGUCGUCAGCGUAGGGUCAGGCGGGACCUAAGGUAUAGCCGAAUGGCGAAGCCGAAUGGACAGCUGGUCAACAUUCCAGCCCCACACGGCGGUGCGAAGGGGGGACGCUCUAGGCUCGGCCGACCGGAGCCAUGGAUGAGCCCGGCCGGGACGCAGGGGGGGUGAGAGGCAAAUCCCUCGCCCACGAACCCCUGUCCAACCGGGGAAGCCGUCAGGUGACAACCGGCCUAUGCCAGGGAGCCGAGAAAAGCCUCUAAGCUCCAACCGUCGUGUGCCCGUACCGGAAACCGACACCGGUGGGUGGGUGGAACUCCACCAAGGCGAUCGAGAGCACCCUCGCUAAGGAACUUUGCAAACUCGCCCCGUAACUUCGGGAGAAGGGGUGCCCGCGCGAGCGGGCCGCAGUGAAGAGGCUCUGGCGACUGUUUACCAAAAACACAGCUCUGUGCGAACACGAAAGUGGAGGUAUACGGAGCGACGCUUGCCCGGUGCUGGAAGGUCAAGGGGAGGGGUGCAAGCUCCGAACCGAAGCCCCAGUGAACGGCGGCCGUAACUAUAACGGUCCUAAGGUAGCGAAAUUCCUUGUCGGGUAAGUUCCGACCUGCACGAAAAGCGUAACGACCGGAGCGCUGUCUCAGCGAGGGACUCGGUGAAAUUGAACUGGCUGUGAAGAUGCGGCCAACCCGUGGCAGGACGAAAAGACCCCGUGGAGCUUUACUGCAGCCUGACAUUGGCCUCCGGGCGUCUCUGCGUAGCAUAGGUGGGAGCCUGUGAACCCUGGCUUUCGGGCUGGGGGGAGGCGUCCGUGAAAUACCACCCUGAGACGUCGGGAUGCCUAACCCCGCGAGGGGGACCGUGUUUGGCGGGCAGUUUGACUGGGGUGGUCGCCUCCUAAAGUGUAACGGAGGCGCCCAAAGGUUCCCUCAGGUGGGACGGAAACCCACCGUGGAGCGCAAGGGUAGAAGGGAGCCUGACUGCGAGGCAAGCGAGCCGAGCAGGAGCGAAAGCUGGGCCUAGUGAACCGGUGGUCCCGUGUGGAAGGGCCAUCGAUCAACGGAUAAAAGUUACCCCGGGGAUAACAGGCUGAUCUCCCCCGAGCGUCCAUAGCGGCGGGGAGGUUUGGCACCUCGAUGUCGGCUCGUCACAUCCUGGGGCUGAAGAAGGUCCCAAGGGUUGGGCUGUUCGCCCAUUAAAGUGGCACGCGAGCUGGGUUCAGAACGUCGUGAGACAGUUCGGUCUCUAUCCGCCACGGGCGGAGGAGGUUUGAGGGAGGCUGCUCCUAGUACGAGAGGACCGGAGUGGACGCACCUCUGGUUUCCCGGCUGUCCCUCCAGGGGCAUAUGUCGGGUCGCCAUGUGCGGAAGGGAGAACCGCUGAAAGCAUCUAAGCGGGAAGCCCGUCCCAAGAUGAGACCUCCCACUGGGUCAACCAGGUAAGGACCCUGCAAGACGAGCAGGUGAAUCGGCCCGGAGUGGAAGCGCCGUAAGGUGUGAAGCUGACGGGUGCGAAUCGUCCGAGGUCUUGACC